RNAcentral lists this ribosomal RNA (750 nucleotides) under uncultured bacterium. RNAcentral's name for it is "bacterial SSU rRNA". It matches the Rfam family "Bacterial small subunit ribosomal RNA", at positions 28 to 776 of the family's 1533-position model. The record is from RNAcentral.
GAUGAACGCUGGCUGUGUGCCUAAUACAUGCAUGUCGAGCGAAGCACUUUUGUGCUUAGCGGUGAAUGGGUGAGUAACACGUACUUAACCUACCCUCAAGAUUGGGACAACACUUGGAAACGAGUGCUAAUACCAAAUACGUAUUUUUAUCGCAUGAUAGAUAUAUAAAAGGAGCUUCGGCUUCACUAGAGGAUGGGAGUGCGCUACAUUAGUUAGUUGGUAGGGUAAUGGCCUACCAAGACUAUGAUGUAUAGCGGGGCCGAGAGGCUGAUCCGCCACACUGGGACUGAGAUACGGCCCAGACUCCUACGGGAGGCAGCAGUAGGGAAUUUUCCACAAUGAACGAAAGUUUGAUGGAGCGACACAGCGUGCAGGAUGAAGGUCUUCGGAUUGUAAACUGCUGUUAUAAGAGAAGAAAAACCCUGGUAGGUAAUGACCAGGACUUGACGGUACCUUAUCAGAAAGCGACGGCUAACUAUGUGCCAGCAGCCGCGGUAAUACAUAGGUCGCAAGCGUUAUCCGGAAUUAUUGGGCGUAAAGAGUUCGUAGGUGGUUUUGUAAGUCUGAAGUUAAAUACCGGGGCUCAACCCCGGCCCGCUUUGGAUACUGCAAAACUAGAGUAAUAGAGAGGUUAGUGGAACUCCAAGUGAAGCGGUGGAAUGCGUAGAUAUUUGGAAGAACACCAAUGGCGAAGGCAACUAACUGGAUAUUAACUGACACUGAGGAACGAAAGCGUGGGUAGCAAACAGG